This 429-nucleotide ribosomal RNA is filed under the name Chloroflexota bacterium. Its description in RNAcentral is "Chloroflexi bacterium partial 16S ribosomal RNA". It matches the Rfam family "Bacterial small subunit ribosomal RNA", at positions 355 to 776 of the family's 1533-position model. Lineage: Bacteria; Bacillati; Chloroflexota. The record is from RNAcentral.
UGGGGAAUAUUGCACAAUGGGCGCAAGCCUGAUGCAGCCAUGCCGCGUGUAUGAAGAAGGCCUUCGGGUUGUAAAGUACUCUCAGCGGGGAGGAAGGGAGUAAAGUUAAUACCUUUGCUCAUUGACGUUACCCGCAGAAGAAGCACCGGCUAACUCCGUGCCAGCAGCCGCGGUAAUACGGAGGGUGCAAGCGUUAAUCGGAAUUACUGGGCGUAAAGCGCACGCAGGCGGUUUGUUAAGUCAGAUGUGAAAUCCCCGGGCUCAACCUGGGAACUGCAUCUGAUACUGGCAAGCUUGAGUCUCGUAGAGGGGGGUAGAAUUCCAGGUGUAGCGGUGAAAUGCGUAGAGAUCUGGAGGAAUACCGGUGGCGAAGGCGGCCCCCUGGACGAAGACUGACGCUCAGGUGCGAAAGCGUGGGGAGCAAACAGG